UUCAUACUCCCUUCGAUCGAAAAUACUUGUCCUAAAAAUAGAUGUAUCUAAACUUUUUUUAGUUACAGAUACAUUCAUUUUAUACAUUUUUAGGACAAGUAUUUUCAGACGGAGGAAGUAUAAU
RNAcentral lists this microRNA precursor (124 nucleotides) under Hordeum vulgare. Its description in RNAcentral is "microRNA MIR1122". It matches the Rfam family "MIR1120/MIR1122 microRNA precursor family". Lineage: Eukaryota; Viridiplantae; Streptophyta; Magnoliopsida; Poales; Poaceae. The record is from RNAcentral.